Molecule: ribosomal RNA, 876 nt
Filed under: Triticum aestivum (bread wheat)
Lineage: Eukaryota; Viridiplantae; Streptophyta; Magnoliopsida; Poales; Poaceae
Description: partial small subunit ribosomal RNA
Source: RNAcentral
AUGCGGUGCCUCGUCGCGCUCCCUGCGGUCGCCGUCCCCGGCCGCCGCUCACAUCCUAACCUGAAACCCCGCCGCAGAAGCACUCUCGUAGCUAUCCUUGGAAGCUGCCGCUGCGGCCGCCGCCACCUCCUCGGUGCAUCCUCUGCCGCCGGCCUCCUCCAUCUCGUCAACCCUCCGUGCCUCGCCGCCCCAGCCAUCGACCCCGACGUGAUGCUUGAACGGGUGCACCCAGCGAGGCCUGGCUGGUACGAGAAGCUUUACGCAACGGCCAUGGACAAGGGCAUGCAGUCUUAUGAAGCCGAGAUUGCGCAGUAUAAAUCGAAUCUCUUCUCCCAAUUGUCAGUUGCGGGGAAGAACAUUCUGGAGCUUGGUGUUGGAACAGGCCCCAACUUAAAGUACUAUGCAAGUGCUGAUGGGGUAAAUGUAAUUGGGGUGGAUCCUAACAUCUACAUGGAGGAGUAUUCUAGAGCAGCAGCAACUUCUGCUGGGCUUCCGUCAUCAAAUUUCACUUUCAGAAGAGGGGUUGGCGAAGCUUUGCCAGCAGAAGAUGGUUCCAUGGAUGCAGUUAUUGGUACAUUGGUGUUAUGUUCUGUAAAAGACACCGAUAUGGCAUUAAGAGAGAUAAAGAGAGUCCUAAAGCCGGGUGGUCUCUACCUAUUCAUUGAGCAUGUUGCUGCAGCAGAUGGUUCCUUCCUCCUGUUGGUGCAAGGUGCCCUUGAUCCUCUGCAGCAAUUUGUCGCUGACGGGUGCCACCUCACCAGGAAAACAGCUGAAAACAUCAAGGAAGCUGGGUUCUCGAGCUUGAGCCUAAACGCGGUGCGCCUGUCAUCUGCGUAUAUCGUUAGCCCCCAUGUUUAUGGUGUAGCCUAUAAAUGA